Long non-coding RNA from Oncorhynchus tshawytscha (Chinook salmon), 849 nucleotides. NCBI's taxonomy places the organism in Eukaryota, Metazoa, Chordata, Actinopteri, Salmoniformes, Salmonidae. The record is from Ensembl.
CAUUGAUCAUCAUAAAUCACCAGUGGCGAUUUUAGCAUAUAUGUCUUGGUGAGGCAAACUUUAAAAAAUAAAAAAAAAGGCAAUCAUAUAUACCUACCGAGGAAGGAUGGAAAGCUACACAGGAGAGUGAUUUUUACUAAGGAGGAUGUGCUGACCGAGAUGCAUGCUGGCCAUUUCAGAGUGAAGCGCAUGAUUGGCAAAACCAACCUACGUUUCUUCUGACGGGGAAUUGUCAAGGAGGUGGACAGCUGGGCAAGUGAAAUAACCUUUCAAUCACAUUCUAUUAUAUCUGUUAUAUUAUGAAUUUCGUUUUGUAUGAUACCUAUCAAGGAUGAGACUUGCGAGGCCACCUCCAAGGCGAUGGUGGACAUUUUCAACAUCUGACCCCCAGGGGGAAUCCUGUCCACCAGAACCAGUGAGUUCGGAUCAGUCUGAUUCUCUGUGCUCUGAGCCGGAGGGGAACCAGCAUGAGGACCUAGGGGUUCUGCCCAACACCCAGACGUGGAUCUACCUGAUGUCCUCCAUUACCAACCACCCUCCAACUUUUCAUUACAUCAUCUACAGCUACAGUUGUUGACAUGUUGUCAUUAUCUGCUAAAAUAAUCUGCUCUAUCAUACCGAGCACAUAAUAUGUGAGAUACACAGAUGAACUAAAAACACUAGCACUGCAAACACUCAAAACAAAGAGAGCAGCAGUGCCUGGACUUUGCAGUCUCCCUCUUCAAGUCCCCCUUCUGAGACUGGCUGCCUGUUGAGAACAAGUGACAGGCAGAAUCUCACAACCACCUCCUCUAUAUUCCAAACACCAGAAUUCAGUAUUUUUGUCUAUGAUUGCCAUCUGAGUGCACA